GUAGGGAAAUGUACUGUUAACCUGUCCAAUGUCCAAAGCAGGAUUGAUGCUUUUCCCAACAUCCAUCACGAUGUCCGUCCGGAUGUUCUGCAACAAACAAACAGUUCACUUUGCUCGUAAAGGACAAGUUUGUCUAAUUACCAUCAAACAACAUUUACGAGAGGUUAUAAAAGUUCCUUAUUUUAAAGGUUAAUGAGAAAGAAGCCAAAUAAAUCGGUUUUGUCCCAGUUCUCAUCCCUUAACCUUUCCCCCUGUUUUGUAGUCGCCUUCCUCUCUUGUGUUUAUCAUCAGAAGCAAAGACAUUGUAUAAGAGAGCAGCAACAACACUGUGAAAGUACAUCUAUAAUUUGUAAAGAGUAAAAGUACUUUGUGAUCCCCGGUGAGACAGUCGAUCUCCACUUCAGAGCAGCAGGCGCCGUAGGUGAAGUAGUAGUACGCAUGACCUUCACCCUUCUCCCAGUCCACAUCGGUGUUUUGGGGAUUUCUUUCCAUCAGUGGCUGCAGGCGCCUCAUCAGCUUCUCACAAGCAUCCUGAGAGGAGAAAUCAAUCAAUCAAUCAAUUAUUAGUCACGCUUUAUUUAUAAAGCACCUUUCAUACAAGUCGAAUGAGAAACUGCUUCAUAACUGACUGACAAACACACAGGAUGAAAAAGGCAGAUGAACCUUGACAGCCAUGCCCACGGCGUCGGUACCGAAGGAAGCAGCUGACGGUGCUGCGUUGGGGACGUUUCCUGUACUCGUCUCCUUGAUGAAGAUGGAGGACAUGGGGACCUCCAGGACUCGGCUCGCUAUCUGCACCGAGCCGUCUUUGUAGAUGUUCACCAGCGCUGCACCCUGGACAAAGCAAAUGAUCAGCAUGUUCCUUAAAUGAUCAAUCACAAGACAAGUUUCAUGUGCAUAAAGCUCCACUUUAACUGGGUAUCCAGCUCUGUAAAAGUGGUUUGUUUGUAAAUACUCCUUUACAACUCCUUUAUCUCUAUGAAUAAGCUAAAUAUUGAUGUCUGGGUUAUGAAUAUGGCACAUUGAAUGAGAAUUUAUACCUACAGACUAAA
This is a long non-coding RNA of Thunnus maccoyii (southern bluefin tuna), 1052 nucleotides long. RefSeq lists it as uncharacterized. The record is from RefSeq and is a predicted model, not a curated record. Lineage: Eukaryota; Metazoa; Chordata; Actinopteri; Scombriformes; Scombridae. The transcript is spliced from 5 exons.